This 2278-nucleotide unclassified non-coding RNA is filed under the name Drosophila yakuba. RNAcentral's name for it is "GE25952". Lineage: Eukaryota; Metazoa; Arthropoda; Insecta; Diptera; Drosophilidae. The record is from RNAcentral.
GUUUGAGGCGGACUGGAAUUUAAUUAAAUUAAAUCAAGUACGAAUGUGUGCGUGCGUGUGUGUGUGUGUAUGUGUCUAAGCUGCGUUCUUGAGUUGUUCUUGUUCUAAGUUCUUUUUUUCGUGGCGUGUAUCUGUGUGCGCGUGUCGUGUGCUGGUGUGCGUGUGCUUUUUGUGAACUACGUUUUGUUUCAAUGCCAAAAAAAAGUAUCUAUGCCGUGGCAUGUGCUCUCUCUCCAUCUCUCUCUUUCGCUCGCUCAUGCUGGUUACAUAAAUACUGGUAGAAGAAGAGGAAGAGAAGGAGGAGCAGGCGGAGGCAACAGAAAUUGAAAUACAAAUUCAAUUAACACCUGAAAACGAAAAGCCAACUGGAACGCAAACGUCUGAUUGGAUAAGGAAAAUAGAAAACGGACAAACAUGUGUUUGAAUUUCCAACCUAUCUGCUUCUUACCAUUCCUAUGAAAUGUUCAAAAGCAAAGCUCCUUGAAAGAGGAGGGAAUAAAAGAAUGUGGAAAAGAGCAGCAGAACCAGAACGAGAACACAAAAAAAAACGAAAUUAACGACGUCACAUAAAAGUGUGUCAAAGCAGCAGCUCACGCACACCAGCGUGCUGCCAAUUUGUAUCUGUGUGAAGCUUUAGCGCUCUCUCCCUCUCUCGCACCGCCCCUCUCAUGCUCAUUCGCUGAUAAAACGCAACGCACACAGCGCGUAUACAUAAUUUAUAUAUUUAUUUAAAUGUUUUUCGUUUGCUCGCUUCGAACAACGAGUUUUUCUCGUUAUUCUAAGACUGCCCCCUUUUAUUUCUCGCUCCAUCUAACAAUUUGAGCUCUUUUCAUACGAACAUACGGACAGCAUUGCUCAAUUAUUAUGUCAUAAAAACAUUUUGAAUGGCAAACGUGCGAUAGAAGUUCAAUUCGUUCAAGGCGAGAUAUAGUAUUAUUUUUCAAGCUUUGGGUUUUUGGCGCAGGAGGAAAUUCAAAAGUUGUCGCUGCUGCUGCUGCUUUCUUGCGUGUGUUUGUGUGUAGGAACGUGCAGCAAUUUUCCAACGUUUGCAUGAAAAACCUAGUGCCCUAAUAAGCAAAACGCGAGAGAGAGGAAAGCCCAGUGCGAAGAGAGCGCGAGAGCGUAGCAGAAGCUGAAGCAGUUUUCCCGCAUUCGAAUUUAAAAAUCAAUGUAGAAAAUGCAAAGCGGACAAAGAAAACACGCACGCACACACACAUGCACACAGAGAUUCCCGAGUCCGAAUGUUAGAUAGAAAUGUGAUCGGACGGGCACGUGUACGUGUCACACAGAUACAAAAGAGCGCCAGAGAGCGAGAGAGAGCGCAGCGAGAGAGUGGAAAAAUGUUUAAUUUUCAGCUGCUCGCAGCAAAAGCAAACGCAAACUUGUCGUUAGAAUCAAAAAAAGCACGCUGAGACAAAGACGCGCACGAAAACUGAACGGAAAAACGGAAAAGGCAAAGGCGGAUGAAGCAGCGCAAAAGGGGAAGCCAAAGCAGGCGCUAAAUAUUUUCAAAAUAUAUAUUUAAAAACUUUGCGCUUCGCUUCGGUAAUAUUUGUAUGCAAAUCUAAUCAGAGUGUGCCUGUGUGUGUAAUUGUUAUAAAUCAAAACGAGAGCAACAACAGCAACAACAAUAGCAGCUUAGCCCGAAAAGUAAAAAACCACAUUAAAGUAACAGAAUUAAUUCAGGAUCCACUACAACAGCAAAAACCACUGUCGCGUCUCCAAAUGAAACAAUAAUUGAAUAAUUGAAUUACGCAAAUAACUAAGAAAAAAAUCAAAGGAAAAGCGAAUAACGAGUAAAAAGUAAAAGUAAAAAAGUUUAAAACAAAUUCGUAAAGCCGUGUACUGAGUAAGCCAGUCAGCGCUUAAAGUACCAUAUAUAGUUGUUCUUAUCUAUACCCACACUCAAUUAAUUGCAGCUGAAUGCACGACUCCUUGCAGAAAGGGGGCCCGCUUUCAAAACUUUCUGUGGAUUCCUGUAAUUCAUCCUGUCGUCUGCUUUCCAUCAUGCCACAUGUUCCACGCUCACAAGCUUGCUUCAAACAGAUCUAUCCCUAUCCCUCAUCUGCCUGCCCCCAAAAAGUUUUGAUAUGUGAAUGCCUAACACAAUCCACGCUUUAGAAAGAACCGCCCCCGGUCCAUCCCGAAAAUCCCGCCCCCUUUUUUCCCAUUCUUGCAAGACGCCUUGCUCGUUUUUGUAAAUAGCUUAUUUUGAAGACGAAAGAUCCAGACAAAUCAAAUCAAUCCAACUUAAAUGUUUGUGCCUAUCUAAAUGUUG